UUAAAAUGUAUAUUUAUGGCUUGAGUAGUAUUAGUUAUGUUCUUGAAACUUAAAAAAUUUGGCGGUAUUUUAGUCUAAUCAGAGGAACCUGUUCCGUGAUCGAUAAUCCACGAUGGACCUUACUUAAAUUUGUUUAGUUUAUAUACCGUCGUUAUGAAAAACUUUUUUAGAAUAAUAGUUUUUAAUAUUUAUAAUUAUAAUUUAUAUCAGAUCAAGGUGUAGCUUAUGUUUAAGUGGUAAUGGGUUACAAUAAAUUUAUUUAUAUGGAUUUUUUAUUGAAAUUAAAAAUGAAGGUGGAUUUGAAAGUAAAAAUUUAUAGAUUAAAAUUUUGAAAUUAGCUCUAAAAUAUGUAC
RNAcentral lists this ribosomal RNA (353 nucleotides) under Physocephala tibialis. Its description in RNAcentral is "partial 12S ribosomal RNA". The record is from RNAcentral. Lineage: Eukaryota; Metazoa; Arthropoda; Insecta; Diptera; Conopidae.